CUAAUACCGCAUAAUCCUNGUGAAGGGAAAGCAGCAAUGCGCUGAAAGAGGAGCCCGCGGACGAUUAGCUAGUUGGUGAGGUAACGGCUCACCAAGCGGUGAUCGGUAGCCGGACUGAGAGGGCACACGCCCACACUGGCACUGAAACACGGGCCAGACUCCUACGGGAGGCAGCAGAUGGGGAAUCUUGCACAAUGGAGGCAACUCUGAUGCAGCGACGCCGCGUGAGCGAUGAAGCCCCUCGGGGUGAAAGCUCUUUCGGCAGGGACGAUAAUGACGGUACCUGAAGAAGAAGCUGCGGCUAACUACGUGCCAGCAGCCGCGGUAAUACGUAGACAGCGAGCGUUGUUCGGAAUUACUGGGCGUAAAGAGUGUGUAGGCGGUGCUCUAAGUUCGGUGUGAAUCUCUCGGCUUAACUGGGAGGAUGCGCCGGAAACUGGAGUGCUCGAACGUGGGAGAGGAAAGCGGAAUUCCUGGUGUAACGGUGAAAUGCGUAGAUAUCAGGAGGAACACCUGCGGUGUAGACGGCUUUCUGGACCAUUGUUGACGCUGAGACACGAAAGCGUGGGUAGCAAACA
RNAcentral lists this ribosomal RNA (578 nucleotides) under uncultured bacterium. RNAcentral's name for it is "bacterial SSU rRNA". It matches the Rfam family "Bacterial small subunit ribosomal RNA", at positions 163 to 774 of the family's 1533-position model. The record is from RNAcentral.